CCUACGGGUGGCUGCAGUGAGGAAUAUUGGUCAAUGGGCGAGAGCCUGAACCAGCCAAGUCGCGUGAGGGAAGACGGUCCUAUGGAUUGUAAACCUCUUUUGCCGGGGAGCAAAAAGCGGUACGUGUACCGCAUCGAGAGUACCCGGAGAAAAAGCAUCGGCUAACUCCGUGCAAGCAGCCGCGGUAAUACCGAGGCUGCGAGCGUUAUCCGGAUUUAUUGGGUUUAAUGGGUGCGCAGGCGGCGAGUAACGUCGGCGGUAAAAUUUCGGGGCUCAACCCCGACGAGCCGUUGAAACUGGCUUGCUAGAGUGGGCGAGAGGUAUGCGGAAUGCGUGGUGUAGCGGUGAAAUGCAUAGAUAUCACGCAGAACUCCGAUUGCGAAGGCAGCAAACCGGCGCCCAACUGACGCUCAGGCACGAAAGCGCGGGUAUCGAACAGGAUUAGAUACCCCUGUAGUC
Molecule: ribosomal RNA, 459 nt
Filed under: uncultured bacterium
Lineage: Bacteria
Description: partial 16S ribosomal RNA
Rfam family: Bacterial small subunit ribosomal RNA
Source: RNAcentral